GACGAACGCUGGCGGCGUGCCUAAUACAUGCAAGUCGACCUUAGUGGCGAAAGGGUGAGUAACCCGUGGGUAACCUGCCCAUCAGAACGGGAUAACGUUUCGAAACAGGUGCUAAUACCCUAUACUGAUGGAUGGACGCGCGGGGCAUGAGCUAGUUGGUGGGGUAACGGCUCACCAAGGCCACGAUCCAUAGCUGAUCUGAGAGGGUGACCGGCCACAUUGGGACUGAGACACGGCCCAAACUCCUACGGGAGGCAGCAGUAGGGAAUAUUCGGCAAUGGGCGAAAGUCUGACCGAGCAACGCCGCGUGAGUGAAGAAGGUUUUCGGGUCGUAAAACUCUGUUGUUAGAGAAGCGGUAUCUAACCAGAAAGCACCGGCUAACUACGUGCCAGCAGCCGCGGUAAUUC
Molecule: ribosomal RNA, 408 nt
Filed under: uncultured bacterium
Lineage: Bacteria
Description: partial 16S ribosomal RNA
Rfam family: Bacterial small subunit ribosomal RNA
Source: RNAcentral